RNAcentral lists this long non-coding RNA (659 nucleotides) under Citrus x clementina. RNAcentral describes it as "Citrus clementina (C. clementina) long non-coding RNA (CCLE_LNC006514)". The record is from RNAcentral. Lineage: Eukaryota; Viridiplantae; Streptophyta; Magnoliopsida; Sapindales; Rutaceae.
UUUGGGGCAGCUGUGUUGUGCUCCAUCUCUUAUUUUCUUAUUGAAAUCAGGAAGAAUAUAGGGGGUUGAAGCACAGCGCAGCUGUCCCAAACACUCUCGGUAUUUUCUUAUUGAAAUCAGUAAGGUAUUUUCUUAUUGAAAUCAGUAAGAAUAUGGGGGUUGAAGCACAGUGCAGCUGUCCCAAACAUAAGAAUACGGGGGUUGAAGCACAGCGCAGCUGUCCCAAUCACUCUCCGUAGAGUAAGGGAUGUAAAGAGCUAUCUGCAGCAGAUGCGGAAAAAAUCUGCAGUGAACAAUCAGUCAUAUUUACACGAUUUCUCCUUGAGUUUGACGGGUUUGUUGUUACGAGAGUCGACCAGCAAUGAACACGAGAUACGCCUCUGAUGCCUAGUCUUAACCAACUUGCCGACCACAUUCCCUCGUUGCCGGACUUCAAACACCAACAGCAGUGGAACCCGUCGAUUGCCGUCUGAAACAGCCAACCCGGCCCCAGCCCCAUACAGAGGAACUUUAUUUCCUUGGAGGUUCACGGUCACCACCCGGUGGCUCUUUCUAGGUUGAUAGUAUUUCCUCAACUGCGCUCAUUAACAGAGAAGGCCAAGUAUUGGUUGGUGAAAAAGAAUCUCACUCAAAUUAAGCAAGUUUCUAAAUUUUCAUUA